This is a long non-coding RNA of Toxotes jaculatrix (banded archerfish), 2115 nucleotides long. RefSeq lists it as uncharacterized. The transcript has 3 exons. The record is from RefSeq and is a predicted model, not a curated record. Lineage: Eukaryota; Metazoa; Chordata; Actinopteri; Toxotidae.
UAUUCUUUCAAGUGCGUAGUUAUUUUGAGGUAAUUGCUGAACACCAGCACAAGGUUUCUAUUUCGAUAUAUCGACAGUGGAAUUCCAGCUGCACUGCAAAGAAACAAGCAAUAACAACUCUCUCUCUCUCUCCUUCAAGAAACACAGUGGCUCGCUUCCUGAUAGCCGUGUGUCCCAUCAACUGUGCUCCUUCAUAACCUUUCCUGUCUUUUCCAUCUUCUCAACUGACUAUGGAUGCCCAGUGGAAAGAGGAAUGUGGCUGAUUUCCUCCAGCUGUUGCAGACAUAAUCCCAGGGUGAAUGAGAUGUCACAGCAGGAAGAUAUCUGAUCCCGACUCCUCCUCUUCCCAAAAACUGCAGGUGCCAACAUGCCCUGGACAAAAUAUGUGUUGUAAGUCUCGAAAACAUUAAAUACUUCUUUUUUAUAUAAGUGCCAUCAUUUCUGUGCCAGUUGACAGCAUUUACACAAAUGUUAAACACACCGCCAUUUUCACUCCCCUGAAUGCGGCACAGACAUAUUUCAGUAAUGACCAUGCCUCCUUCUUUUAAUAAAAUUACCCUUGUGUUCUCUGUCUGAUUGACAGAGCUGAAAUUCUUACAGAUAAAUUGCAUCUGCCACAGUCAUGACAUUGACAAACAGAGGAGCUCAGGCCUGCCUACUUUUACAAAAAGCUCCACUGUCGCUGGCUCCUUUAAUUGGCUCAGAUAAUUACAUUAAAUAGCUGCUAUGGCUGCUGCUGUUUCUGCUGGUGUACUCAGGCGAGCACUGUCCUCCCACUGUGAGUGGUACUGUACUGAUGCACUGGACUCUCUGAGCUCUCUUUCAGUUAUAUAAAGAACCGGUGCAGCACUCUCUCCAGCAACCUCACCACUUCAAGAGCAUAAUAUGAGGGGAUCUGGGAGGGAGCGGAAGCGGAGGGCGGGAGAAUGAGAGGAGCGAUGGAGUGAAACGACAGAGAGAUUUUCAUGUUUCAUCAUGUUGAAACCUGCAUACCUGUAAAAUGGAAACUUUAAAAAGGACAAAGAAGCAAACGAGGCAGACAAGACAGACAGGACAAGACAAGAGACAGAGAAACAGCUGCAGCAGUUGUUGCUCAUCGCUUAAAUGUACUUGCCAUGAUGUGAUCACCACCAUCAUCGCAUUUUCAUCAUUAGCUUGUGUGAUGCUGUUUGUUAUUGUCUAAUUACCACUAGCUUUGAAUUGUUGUAUUAAGUUUCCACCUUUUCCUGUUGAAACAGCAUCAGCACACUCUCCAUCCUCACUGAUGAUUCAGCAGCAAAUAUGCGUCAUGCGUUGUCUGCUGUUGCAAUGUAUGUGGUUUUUCUGUUUUGAUGAUUAUGGUUCUCCGGGCCAACGCAGAUUACACAUUGAUUUCACAGAAUUUGUUAUGCAUCUGGCAACAAAAUUGCCCUCUUUACACCCUAUCCAUGCAAACUCUGGAAAGGGAGCGGAGGCCUUCCACAUGUAUUGAAUGUUUCGAUUCAGGCGCAAUAUCUCUGUCUCCAUUUACCCUUGUAAAACACAAAUAAAAGCUUCGCAGUUAAGCGAAGAAUAAGCAAGAGAGAAAAAAAACGACAGGGAGAGAGAAAAGUGAAUGGAUAGCAGAGAGAGGUAAGCAUUAAAGCAAAAUAACAUACACACGCUAAUAAAACUCUCAGCAAUACUCUCAAACUAACCAUUUUGUCCAUUUUGUGGACACAUCAUUCCACCCCGUCCUCCUUUGGACACAGAUUUUGUGUCACCAAAUUCCUCCAUUACUCCCACCAGACAAAUGUCAUGAUUCCUAUUUGUCACUUGAAUGUUUUUUGGCAUUUGCGGAAACGAGCAAAGCUCUCAAUUUCUGAGGAGCACAGUCUCAUUAACUCACAGUAAGUGAUAACAAGGAGCUGCCAGGUGUGUACUCUGGCUCGUGCCUCUGAGACACGAGCCAGGUCUGCGUCAGCUGGAGACCACCUCAAGUUAUGUAGUCAAGUUGUCUAACACAAAGUUUUCUCUGUGAGGACAAUAAACCACUGUACCUAUCUAAUCAUAAAAAUAUUCAUUAUUGUCAUCAACAUGAAAAUGUUAUUGUUUAGUGUCAUCUCCACCCUUCAUUAAAUUUUAGUUUGCUGUUGA